Molecule: ribosomal RNA, 345 nt
Filed under: uncultured eukaryote
Lineage: Eukaryota
Description: SSU rRNA
Rfam family: Eukaryotic small subunit ribosomal RNA
Source: RNAcentral
AUAGCGUAUAUUAAAGUUGUUGCAGUUAAAAAGCUCGUAGUUGAAUUUCGGGAUCAAUAUGUUGGUCGUGCCUCGGUACGUACUAGCAUAUUGGUUUCUCCUUUCUGAAGAACCAUGAUGUCAUUUAUUUGGUGUCGUGGGGAAUCAGGACUGUUACUUUGAAAAAAUUAGAGUGUUUAAAGCAGGCUCACGCUUGAAUACAUUAGCAUGGAAUAAUGAAAUAGGACGUUUGAUUCUAUUUUGUUGGUUUCUAGGAUCGACGUAAUGAUUAAUAGGGAUAGUUGGGGGCAUUAGUAUUCAAUUGUCAGAGGUGAAAUUCUUGGAUCGAUAGAAGACUAACUAAAG